Molecule: ribosomal RNA, 201 nt
Filed under: Triticum aestivum (bread wheat)
Lineage: Eukaryota; Viridiplantae; Streptophyta; Magnoliopsida; Poales; Poaceae
Description: partial small subunit ribosomal RNA
Source: RNAcentral
CUCCGAAAAGGGCUUAAGUACCUCAUUAUCUUGGUGGCUUGGGAAAUAUGGAAGCAUCAGAACAAUUGCAUUUUCAAUGGCGCUAGGCAAAAUGUUUUCAUGGUGUUGCUGACAGUUGCUAAUGAAUGCACCCUCUGGUGUUCAGCUAGAGCUUUGGCGCUUCGGCAGCUUUUGUGUGGGCUACUUACCUUGGACAAUUAG